This is a long non-coding RNA of Dreissena polymorpha, 254 nucleotides long. RefSeq lists it as uncharacterized. The record is from RefSeq and is a predicted model, not a curated record. Lineage: Eukaryota; Metazoa; Mollusca; Bivalvia; Myida; Dreissenidae. The transcript has 2 exons.
CGAUCCUCUACUGCAGUGCGUCUGCAUAGAGUUCUGUGUUGAUGCAAUUAUAAUUUCCCAAUAAUUUGCAGAUAUAACUUAUAUGGAACAUCACAGUGUCAACAGAAGUCAGAAACUGGAAUACUGUAUCUCAUUCUGCAUGAAGCUCAAGAAUUCUACACCUGGAAUGUUAUUAAUUCUUGCAAUUAAUAUUAUACAUCACCACAGUUACAUAACUAUCUUCUUUGGAAAAAAUAAAAUAAAGAUACUUCAAA